GAUGAACGCUAGCGGUGUGCUUAACGCAUGCAAGUCGAACGUGAAGCUUCCUUCGGGAAGUGGAAAGUGGCGAACGGGUGAGUAACACGUAGGUAACGUACCCUAGGGAGGGGGACAACAGGUGGAAACGCCUGCUAAUACCCCGGAUGUCACUUCGGUGACUAAAGCUCCGGCGCCCUAGGAGCGGCCUGCGGCCCAUCAGUUAGUUGGUAAGGUAACGGCUUACCAAGACAAAGACGGGUAGGGGACGUGAGAGCGUGGACCCCCACACUGGUACUGAUACACGGACCAGAUACCUACGGGUAGCAGCAGCGAGGAAUAUUGCGCAAUGGGGGCAACCCUGACGCAGCAACACCGCGUGGAGGAAGAAUGUCUUCGGAUUGUAAACUCCUUUUCUGUGUGAAUAGAAAGGAAGGUAGCACAGGAAUAAGGCCCGGCUAACUACG
RNAcentral lists this ribosomal RNA (446 nucleotides) under uncultured Anaerolineae bacterium. RNAcentral describes it as "bacterial SSU rRNA". It matches the Rfam family "Bacterial small subunit ribosomal RNA", at positions 28 to 505 of the family's 1533-position model. The record is from RNAcentral. Lineage: Bacteria; Bacillati; Chloroflexota; Anaerolineae.